GCAGAACCCACCACGGCGUCGUCAGCCAAGAUAUAUACAGGAAACGGAACACGUUACCGCCUAGCCCCAAGCAUAACACCUGUAGAUCAAGGAUCUUCUAUUCAUCGGAUACGCGGUACUACCUUCACGUGACCGAUCUGGCGAAUCAACUUGAAGCUGAAGAAGUAGGCGAAUAUCU
Molecule: long non-coding RNA, 178 nt
Organism: Megachile rotundata (alfalfa leafcutting bee)
Lineage: Eukaryota; Metazoa; Arthropoda; Insecta; Hymenoptera; Megachilidae
Gene: Adar
Source: RefSeq, a predicted model, not a curated record